RNAcentral lists this ribosomal RNA (269 nucleotides) under Chloroflexota bacterium. RNAcentral describes it as "Chloroflexi bacterium (marine metagenome) partial 16S ribosomal RNA". It matches the Rfam family "Bacterial small subunit ribosomal RNA", at positions 1280 to 1533 of the family's 1533-position model. The record is from RNAcentral. Lineage: Bacteria; Bacillati; Chloroflexota.
AGCUGGUCUCAGUUGGGAUUGCAGGCUGCAACUCGCCUGCAUGAACGCGGAGUUGCUAGUAAACGCAGGUCAGCACACUGCGUUGAAUACGUUCCCGGGGUUUGUACACACCGCCCGUCACGUCAUGGAAGUUGGCAAUACUUGAAGUCACUGGGCUAACCCAUUUAUUUGGGACGCAGGUGCCGAGAGUAGGGCCGAUGACUGGGACGAAGUCGUAACAAGGUAGCUGUACCGGAAGGUGCGGCUGGAUCACCUCCUUUCUAAGGAGA